Molecule: non-coding RNA, 1171 nt
Organism: Cyanistes caeruleus (blue tit)
Lineage: Eukaryota; Metazoa; Chordata; Aves; Passeriformes; Paridae
Source: RefSeq, a predicted model, not a curated record
AAGGAAAGAUUUUAAGGGUAAUUUACUGAACACUUGGAGGCUAUUGGGGGAUGCUGUGUCCAUGAAAAUUAUUAUAAUUUGAGUCAUAUAUUUUACCCCCAGAAAAGUAGGUUUCAGUGUAGGGUGAUAUGAUAUUUUGUACCAAAUAAUAUUUUUACAUUAUUAUAUACUUUGGGGAUAAAAUAAUCCAAGCUUUCUAUUCCUGAUAUGGCAAUUGGUUGCUUUCCAGCCAUAUGUAGAAAUAUAAUAGCUAGUUCCACCAAGUCAAAAGCUUGACUCUAUCCCUAACAAUGACAUUUCUCCCCAGUAUUCUACUUUGAGUACAUUUCACCAAUUUACAUUGAAAAUUUUCUGGUCUAUUUUAUUUUAACAGAAUUCCCUAACUUUUUUUUUUAAUCAAAAAAUAAAAUGAUAAAACACUACAUGAUGUGAUAUAAUUCUAAAUGUGCUUCUAAGAGUGUAGAAAGAAAAGACCAUAUGGAUUCAGUGAAUAUUUGAACUGCUAAGCUGAAUCUCAAAUUAUUUUCAGCUUUAUUCAUCACUAAUUGUCUCCUGGGGUUUUGAACAAAUGAUGUUAAGGGAUGAAACCUUCAAAGUCAAUGCCUGACAGCUACUCUUAGUAAAAUAAAUACUAAGGACAAUUGGAUGGCUCUGAUGUACUGCAACAAUAAGCAUAGAUUUAUAGGUUAUAUAGGAAAUUAUUUGCCUAAGAGCCCUAUAGAGAAUAUCAUGCCUUAAUGGAGAAAUAAGAAAGAAGAAGAGAGGGAUAUUUCACUGACAAUUGGGAACAGGGAGAUAGGAGUAGGGAGAUAGAUAUUCGCAUCCACUUAAGCUCUUAAAAUGCAUUUCAAAGAGUAAAAGUGAUUCUUAAAAAUAUAUAAGGCACUUCUUUUUGAAGAAACACGAGGACUGAUUUUGAGGUUAAUUUACCAAAUGUUUUGAGGUCAAUGGAAGAUAGCUUCAAUCCACAGAGCCUGGCUUCAAUCACUCCCUGUACAAUGCUUACCAUGAGAACAGUAAUAGUAGUCAUCUUAACACUGGCAAGAGAUCCCAGAGGAUCUUCUCUGUCCAUGUAAAUUACAAUGGCAGCAAGGAAAUUGUAAGUUGACCCUGUAAAAUUCUCUGUCCUCCUUAGGUUUUAGAUCAGGUGCCAUGUGUACAGAAUAUUCAG